RNAcentral lists this ribosomal RNA (1149 nucleotides) under Triticum aestivum (bread wheat). Its description in RNAcentral is "partial small subunit ribosomal RNA". The record is from RNAcentral. Lineage: Eukaryota; Viridiplantae; Streptophyta; Magnoliopsida; Poales; Poaceae.
AUGGGCUUGUGUGGCUGGGCGCCCACGAGCGUGGAUGUGACCACGAAGCUCGGGCGGACAUGGCGGGCACGGAAACAGCAACUAUGGUGGCAAAUGAAGAACGGGGCGUGGAGGAAGCGGAGAAGAAGCUCACUGGGCCCUGUAGUCGUGCAAAAGCGAGCUCGGGGAUGCCGAAGAGGCUCGGGGUGGAGCGGAUCGAAGACGACCGACGAUGACGACCCGAGACAAAGACGAUGUGGGCGACGGAGAUGGGGACUCCUCCAAUCCGAUGGCGCAGAGGGUGAGGUAGAUGACGACGGUCCUCCAGGGCUCGUCGGCGUGGCGGGGGAGGGUCGGUGGCCACAUCGAGGCGAGGUGGCCGACGGCGAACGCAAAGGGAUCUGGGGAGAGGGAGAGAGGAGGAGUGGGGAGCGAGGGGGCAAGUGGGAGAGGGGAUCGAGGGGGCGCGGCGUCAGCGACCUUAUCCCCUCCGGGGACUGUAGCGGCGUGGGCAGGCGAGGCGGUCGGGGGAAGAAUGCGAGCGCCCCGGCCGUUCUAACAAUGGGGAGGGAGACGACCGGGGGAGUGGGGUUGGUGGAGGUGGGCUGGGCUGUGGAUUUGUUCUCUAUUGAUAGUGACACAAGCUCUAGCAUAGUGGAAUGGGCAAUGCCCGAGCUUUUCCAAAACCCAUCAUCAAUGUCUAGUGCUUGGAGCGAGCUUGCAGAAGUUAUUGGCUCCAAAAGAAACAUUGAAGAAGAUGAUAUUGUUCGGUUGCCCGAUGUCCAAGCUGUCAUAAAAGAAACUUUUCGACUUCAUCCUCCCGGCUCGCUAUUGUUGCCACACAAACCCAAGAGAACAAUGAAAAUAGUAGGUCGAGAUAAAGAUGGAUGGACUGAACCUGAGAAGUUUAUGCCAGAGAGGUUCUUGGGUUCCGCAGUUGACUUCAAGGGUGCUGAUUUCGAGCUCCUUCCAUUUGGUGCUGGACGUCGGAUCUACCCUGGAAUGCCAUUGACUAUUAGGAUGGUGCGUCUGGUCCUCGCUUCGUUGUUAAAUCAAUUUAAGUGGAGUCUCCCUGUUGAGCUUGAAAGGGAUGGGAUUGAUAUGGAAGAAAAGUUUGGCCUAUCACUAACGAAGGCCAUGCCUCUUCGUAUUGUACCAACCCCGAUUUGA